This 473-nucleotide ribosomal RNA is filed under the name uncultured bacterium. RNAcentral describes it as "bacterial SSU rRNA". It matches the Rfam family "Bacterial small subunit ribosomal RNA", at positions 28 to 503 of the family's 1533-position model. The record is from RNAcentral.
GAUGAACGCUGGCGGCGUGCUUAACACAUGCAAGUCGAGCGAAGCACUAAAGCGGAUUUCUUCGGAUUGAAGGUUUAGUGACUGAGCGGCGGACGGGUGAGUAACGCGUGGGUAACCUGCCUCAUACAGGGGGAUAACAGUUGGAAACGGCUGCUAAUACCGCAUAAGCGCACAGUACCGCAUGGUACGGUGUGAAAAACUCCGGUGGUAUGAGAUGGACCCGCGUCUGAUUAGGUAGUUGGUGGGGUAACGGCCUACCAAGCCGACGAUCAGUAGCCGACCUGAGAGGGUGACCGGCCACAUUGGGACUGAGACACGGCCCAAACUCCUACGGGAGGCAGCAGUGGGGAAUAUUGCACAAUGGGGGAAACCCUGAUGCAGCGACGCCGCGUGAGCGAAGAAGUAUUUCGGUAUGUAAAGCUCUAUCAGCAGGGAAGAAAAUGACGGUACCUGACUAKAGCCCCCGYUAUCUC